Gavialis gangeticus (Gharial) is the source of this 105-nucleotide long non-coding RNA. RefSeq lists it as uncharacterized. Lineage: Eukaryota; Metazoa; Chordata; Crocodylia; Gavialidae. The transcript is spliced from 3 exons. The record is from RefSeq and is a predicted model, not a curated record.
CCAGAGAAUGCCCAUGCCACACAUGCUCUGGCGUGCAGCAAGUUACCCCAGGUAGGGAACGGGAGGCCGGAGCCAGCAACUAUGCUAGACCCACCAGCCUCAUCU